Long non-coding RNA from Ictalurus punctatus (channel catfish), 632 nucleotides. RefSeq lists it as uncharacterized. The record is from RefSeq and is a predicted model, not a curated record. The transcript has 4 exons. Lineage: Eukaryota; Metazoa; Chordata; Actinopteri; Siluriformes; Ictaluridae.
GGCUGGAGAAGUCAUUCUAAAUUGCAUUUUCAGUUGAAUUUGGAGAAACCACUUGAAGCAUUUAUUGUGUUGAACUAUUUCAAUUGCUUUUGUUUGAUUUGUUCAUCGCAAACAGCUGAAAGUCUGAACAUUUUCACAAUAAACCUGUUGGGUUUUUUUGGGUGAGUGACCUGCACUCCACGUUGCGAGCUGAUCAAUAGCGCUCAGAGCUUAUCUCCCACUUCCAUUUACUGUUUGACUAAAAGCCUUGGAGGCCACAUAAAGAGGAGCAGAAGGGAGCAGACCGACCUGAACUUAGCUCGUAUCGUCAAAAUGAACUGCUGCUGGGCGAUCACUGGCGUAGAGACGAUGGGAACGUGUGCUGGAAUUUGUAAAUGUGAUCGCACACAUGCUGUGGAGACCUGAAAGCUUGAUGACGGCCAUCUUUACGAUUGGAUCCAGAGGAUGACGGGGAACCUGGAGCCUAUCCCUGGAGCAUCGGGCACAAGGCGGGGUACACCAUGGACAGGGUGCCAAUCCAUCACAGGGCACAAUCACAUACACACACACACACCCAUUCAUACACUAUGGAUAUAGACAUGCCAAUCAGCCUACCAUGCAUGUCUUUGGACUGGGGGAGGAAACCAUGUGUG